ACAAGCGGUGGAGCAUGUGGUUAAUUCGAAGCAACGCGAAGAACCUUUACCAGGUCUUGACAUCCCGAUGCUAUUUCUAGAGAUAGAAAGUUACUUCGGUACAUCGGUGACAGGUGGUGCAUGGUUGUCGUCAGCUCGUGUCGUGAGAUGUUGGGUUAAGUCCCGCAACGAGCGCAACCCCUAUUGUUAGUUGCCAUCAUUCAGUUGGGCACUCUAGCGAGACUGCCGGUAAUAAACCGGAGGAAGUGGGGAUGACGUCAAAUCAUCAUGCCCCUUAUGACCUGGGCUACACACGUGCUACAAUGGUUGGUACAACGAGUUGCGAGUCGGUGACGGCGAGCUAAUCUCUUAAAGCCAAUCUCAGUUCGGAUUGUAGGCUGCAACUCGCCUACAUGAAGUCGGAAUCGCUAGUAAUCGCGGAUCAGCACGCCGCGGUGAAUACGUUCCCGGGCCUU
Molecule: ribosomal RNA, 455 nt
Filed under: uncultured Streptococcus sp.
Lineage: Bacteria; Bacillati; Bacillota; Bacilli; Lactobacillales; Streptococcaceae
Description: bacterial SSU rRNA
Rfam family: Bacterial small subunit ribosomal RNA
Source: RNAcentral